This 177-nucleotide unclassified non-coding RNA is filed under the name uncultured fungus. RNAcentral's name for it is "sequence contains ITS1". Lineage: Eukaryota; Fungi. The record is from RNAcentral.
UUGCUUUAUUUUUGUAUAAGAUUCAGAUGACAAGUUCAAGAGUUUUUAAAAUAUCUUCUGACGGGUCACCCCGCCAAAGAAGCAAAGGUAGGACAAACACAGGGUUAACCGGUACUGCAGGGAUUGCUCCCUUCAGCCGUGACAUUAAUGAUCCUUCCGCAGGUUCACCUACGGAAA